AACGAACGCUGGCGGCGUGCCUAACACAUGCAAGUCGAGCGAGAAAGCCCGCAAGGGUGAGUAAAGCGGCGAACGGGUGAGUAACACGUAGGUAACCUACCUUUGAGACCGGGACAACCUGUCGAAAGACGGGCUAAUACCGGAUAAGACCACGUCCUCUUCGGAGGAUGAGGUAAAAGUUGGCCUCUGUAUACACGCUAACACUUAUUGACGGGCCUGCGCACCAUUAGCUAGUUGGUAAGGUAACGGCUACCAAGGCUACGAUGGUUAGCUGAUCUGAGAGGAUGAUCAGCCACACUGGAACUGAAACACGGUCCAGACUCCUACGGGAGGCAGCAGUGGGGAAUUUUGCGCAAUGGGGGAAACCCUGACGCAGCAACGCCGCGUGAGUGAUGAAGGCC
RNAcentral lists this ribosomal RNA (401 nucleotides) under uncultured bacterium. RNAcentral's name for it is "bacterial SSU rRNA". It matches the Rfam family "Bacterial small subunit ribosomal RNA", at positions 29 to 416 of the family's 1533-position model. The record is from RNAcentral.